GUGCCAGCCGCCGCGGUAAGACGGAGGAGGCGAGCGUUAUCCGGAUUUACUGGGCGUCAAGGGCGCGUAGGCGGCCUGACAGGUCGUGGGUGAAAGCCCCGGGCUCAACCCGGGGAGGUCCCGCGAUACCAUCAGGCUUGAGGAUCGUAGAGGGGGGCGGAAUGUCCGGUGGAGCGGUGGAAUGCGUAGAUAUCGGACGGAACACCCGAGGCGAAGGCGGCCCCCUGGGCGAUACCUGACGCUGAGGCGCGAAAGCGUGGGGAGCAAAGCGGAUUAGAAACCCUUGUAGUCC
This 292-nucleotide ribosomal RNA is filed under the name uncultured bacterium. RNAcentral's name for it is "partial 16S ribosomal RNA". It matches the Rfam family "Bacterial small subunit ribosomal RNA", at positions 505 to 796 of the family's 1533-position model. The record is from RNAcentral.